This 295-nucleotide ribosomal RNA is filed under the name uncultured microorganism. RNAcentral's name for it is "partial 16S ribosomal RNA". It matches the Rfam family "Bacterial small subunit ribosomal RNA", at positions 505 to 796 of the family's 1533-position model. The record is from RNAcentral.
GUGCCAGCAGCCGCGGUAAUACAGAGGGUGCGAGCGUUAAUCGGAUUUACUGGGCGUAAAGCGUGCGUAGGCGGCUUUUUAAGUCGGAUGUGAAAUCCCCGAGCUUCACUUGGGAAUUGCAUCAGAUACUGGGAAGCUAGAGUAUGGGAGAGGAUGGUAGAAUUCCAGGUGUAGCGGUGAAAUGCGUAGAAAUCGUGGAGGAAUACCCGAUGGCGAGAGGCAGCCAUCUGGCCUAAUACUGACGCUGAGGUACGAAAGCAUGGGGAGCAAACAGGAUUAGAUACCCUGGUACUCC